GACGAACGCUGGCGGCGUGCUUAACACAUGCAAGUCGAACGGUAAGGCCCCUUCGGGGGUACACGAGUGGCGAACGGGUGAGUAACACGUGAGCAACCUGCCCUUGACUUUGGGAUACCAGCUGGAAACAGCUGCUAAUACCGGAUAUGACCUCUUCUCUCAUGGGUUGAGGUGGAAAGCUCCGGCGGUCAGGGAUGGGCUCGCGGCCUAUCAGCUUGUUGGUGAGGUAAUGGCUCACCAAGGCUUCGACGGGUAGCCGGCCUGAGAGGGCGACCGGCCACACUGGGACUGAGAUACGGCCCAGACUCCUACGGGAGGCAGCAGUGGGGAAUAUUGCACAAUGGGCGCAAGCCUGAUGCAGCAACGCCGCGUGCGGGAUGACGGCCUUCGGGUUGUAAACCGCUUUCAGUAGGGACGAAGCUAACGUGACGGUACCUACAGAAGAAGGACCGGCUAACUGCGUG
This 464-nucleotide ribosomal RNA is filed under the name uncultured bacterium. RNAcentral describes it as "partial 16S ribosomal RNA". It matches the Rfam family "Bacterial small subunit ribosomal RNA", at positions 28 to 507 of the family's 1533-position model. The record is from RNAcentral.